RNAcentral lists this ribosomal RNA (495 nucleotides) under Escherichia coli. RNAcentral's name for it is "bacterial SSU rRNA". It matches the Rfam family "Bacterial small subunit ribosomal RNA", at positions 283 to 770 of the family's 1533-position model. The record is from RNAcentral. Lineage: Bacteria; Pseudomonadati; Pseudomonadota; Gammaproteobacteria; Enterobacterales; Enterobacteriaceae.
CUAGCUGGUCUGAGAGGAUGACCAGCCACACUGGAACUGAGACACGGUCCAGACUCCUACGGGAGGCAGCAGUGGGGAAUAUUGCACAAUGGGCGCAAGCCUGAUGCAGCCAUGCCGCGUGUAUGAAGAAGGCCUUCGGGUUGUAAAGUACUUUCAGCGGGGAGGAAGGGAGUAAAGUUAAUACCUUUGCUCAUUGACGUUACCCGCAGAAGAAGCACCGGCUAACUCCGUGCCAGCAGCCGCGGUAAUACGGAGGGUGCAAGCGUUAAUCGGAAUUACUGGGCGUAAAGCGCACGCAGGCGGUUUGUUAAGUCAGAUGUGAAAUCCCCGGGCUCAACCUGGGAACUGCAUCUGAUACUGGCAAGCUUGAGUCUCGUAGAGGGGGGUAGAAUUCCAGGUGUAGCGGUGAAAUGCGUAGAGAUCUGGAGGAAUACCGGUGGCGAAGGCGGCCCCCUGGACGAAGACUGACGCUCAGGUGCGAAAGCGUGGGGAGCA